RNAcentral lists this ribosomal RNA (524 nucleotides) under uncultured bacterium. RNAcentral's name for it is "partial 16S ribosomal RNA". It matches the Rfam family "Bacterial small subunit ribosomal RNA", at positions 28 to 523 of the family's 1533-position model. The record is from RNAcentral.
GACGAACGCUGGCGGCGUGCCUAAUACAUGCAAGUCGAGCGCAGGAAAUCAUCCGAACCUUUCGGGGGGACGUUGAUGGAAUGAGCGGCGGUCGGGUGAGUAACACGUAAAGAACCUGCCCUCAGGUCUGGGAUAACCACGAGAAAUCGGGGCUAAUACCGGAUGGGUCAUCGGACCGCAUGGUCCGAGGAUGAAAGGCGCUUCGGCGUCGCCUGGGGAUGGCUUUGCGGUGCAUUAGCUAGUUGGUGGGGUAAUGGCCCACCAAGGCGACGAGGCAUAGCCGACCUGAGAGGGUGAUCGGCCACACUGGGACUGAGACACGGCCCAGACUCCUACGGGAGGCAGCAGUAGGGAAUCUUCCACAAUGGACGAAAGUCUGAUGGAGCAACGCCGCGUGAACGAUGAAGGCCUUCGGGUCGUAAAGUUCUGUUGUAAGGGAAGAACAAGUGCCGCAGGCAAUGGCGGCACCUUGACGGUACCUUGCGAGUAAGCCACGGCUAACUACGUGCCAGCCGCCGCCGUAA